GUGGGGAAUAUUGGACAAUGGGCGCAAGCCUGAUCCAGCCAUGCCGCGUGAGUGAUGAAGGCCCUAGGGUUGUAAAGCUCUUUCACCGGUGAAGAUAAUGACGGUAACCGGAGAAGAAGCCCCGGCUAACUUCGUGCCAGCAGCCGCGGUAAUACGAAGGGGGCUAGCGUUGUUCGGAAUUACUGGGCGUAAAGCGCACGUAGGCGGAUUGGUCAGUUAGAGGUGAAAUCCCGAAGCUCAACUUCGGAACUGCCUUUAAUACUGCCAGUCUCGAGUCCGGAAGAGGUGAGUGGAACUCCUAGUGUAGAGGUGGAAUUCGUAGAUAUUAGGAAGAACACCAGUGGCGAAGGCGGCUCACUGGUCCGGUACUGACGCUGAGGUGCGAAAGCGUGGGGAGCAAACAGGAUUAGAAACCCGAGUAGUCC
This 425-nucleotide ribosomal RNA is filed under the name uncultured bacterium. RNAcentral describes it as "partial 16S ribosomal RNA". It matches the Rfam family "Bacterial small subunit ribosomal RNA", at positions 354 to 796 of the family's 1533-position model. The record is from RNAcentral.